CAGCAGCCGCGGUAACACCGAGGGUGCGAGCGUUAAUCGGAUUUACUGGGCGUAAAGCGUGCGUAGGCGGCUUUUUAAGUCGGAUGUGAAAUCCCCGAGCUUAACUUGGGAAUUGCAUUCGAUACUGGGAAGCUAGAGUAUGGGAGAGGAUGGUAGAAUUCCAGGUGUAGCGGUGAAAUGCGUAGAGAUUUGGAGGAAUACCGAUGGCGAAGGCAGCCAUCUGGCCUAAUACUGACGCUGAGGCACGAAAGCAUGGGGAGCAAACAGGAUUAGAUACCCCCGUAGUCCCUGUCUCUUAUCA
This 301-nucleotide ribosomal RNA is filed under the name uncultured bacterium. RNAcentral describes it as "partial 16S ribosomal RNA". It matches the Rfam family "Bacterial small subunit ribosomal RNA", at positions 509 to 809 of the family's 1533-position model. The record is from RNAcentral.